AUUGAACGCUGGCGGCAGGCCUAACACAUGCAAGUCGAGCGGAUGAAGGGAGCUUGCUCCUGGACUCAGCGGCGGACGGGUGAGUAAUGCCUAGGAAUCUGCCUUGUAGUGGGGGAUAACGUCCGGAAACGGGCGCUAAUACCGCAUACGUCCUGAGGUAGAAAGUGGGGGAUCUUCGGAUCUCACGCUAUCAGAUGAGCCUAGGUCGGAUUAGCUAGUUGGUGGGGUAAAGGCCUACCAAGGCGACGAUCCGUAACUGGUCUGAGAGGAAGAUCAGUCACACUGGAAGUGAGACACGGUCCAGACUCCUACGGGGGGCAGCAGUGGGGAAUAUUGGACGAUGGACGAAAGCCUGAUCCAGCCAUGCCGCGUGUGUGAAGAAGGUCUUCGGAUUGUAAAGCACUUUAGGUUGGGAGGAAGGACAGUAAGUUUAUACCUUGCUGUUUUGACGUUACCAGCAGAAUAAGCACCGGCUAACUUCGUG
This 484-nucleotide ribosomal RNA is filed under the name uncultured bacterium. Its description in RNAcentral is "partial 16S ribosomal RNA". It matches the Rfam family "Bacterial small subunit ribosomal RNA", at positions 30 to 507 of the family's 1533-position model. The record is from RNAcentral.